Molecule: long non-coding RNA, 256 nt
Filed under: Setaria viridis
Lineage: Eukaryota; Viridiplantae; Streptophyta; Magnoliopsida; Poales; Poaceae
Description: long non-coding RNA (SVIR_LNC002240)
Source: RNAcentral
UCCGUGACUCGUGAAACAUAGUCAUUAACUAAUACAUGUGCUAGUCUAAUAUUCAUGUGUGUCCUCACAUGAACUCCGACUAGGGACAACUUUAGAAUAACCAUACAAGUAAAGAGUUUCACAUACAAUUCACAAAAUUGCAAAUCAAUUCAAGUAGCCUUUAAUGGAUAUUCAAGGAACACAAUAUAAAUCAUGGAUACUAAUGGAAUAUCAUCAUCUCUAUGAUUGCCUCUAGGGCAUACAUCCAAUAGUCUCC